Molecule: ribosomal RNA, 253 nt
Filed under: uncultured bacterium
Lineage: Bacteria
Description: partial 16S ribosomal RNA
Rfam family: Bacterial small subunit ribosomal RNA
Source: RNAcentral
GACGAACCGAGCGAACGUUGUUCGGAAUCACUGGGCUUAAAGGGCGCGUAGGCGGGCUGACAAGUCUGGGGUGAAAUACCACGGCUCAACCGUGGAACUGCCUCAGAUACUGUCGGCCUCGAGGGAGGUAGGGGCGUGCGGAACUGUAGGUGGAGCGGUGAAAUGCGUUGAUAUCUACAGGAACUCCGGUGGCGAAAGCGGCGCGCUGGACCUCUUCUGACGCUGAGGCGCGAAAGCUAGGGGAGCAAACGGG